GACGAACGCUGGCGGCGCGCUUAACACAUGCAAGUCGAACGGAAAGGCCUGCUUUCCCUUGUGGAUUGCGGGUACUCGAGUGGCGAACGGGUGAGUAACACGUGAGUGAUCUGCCCCCAACUUGGGUAUAAGCCUGGGAAACUGGGUCUAAUUCCCGAUAGGACUGCAGGGUGGUGCCUGUGGUGGAAAACGAUUUUCUAGUGGUUGGGGUUGAGCUCGCGGCCUAUCAGCUUGUUGGUGGGGUAAUGGCCUACCAAGGCGGCGACGGGUAGCCGGCCUGAGAGGGUGGACGGCCACAUUGGGACUGAGAUACGGCCCAGACUCCUACGGGAGGCAGCAGUGGGGAAUAUUGCACAAUGGGCGGAAGCCUGAUGCAGCGACGCCGCGUGGGGGAUGACGGCCUUCGGGUUGUAAACUCCUUUCGACCGCGAGGAAGCCACCUGGUUGGAAGGGUGGUGACGGUAGUGGUAGAAGAAGCACCGGCUAACUACGUG
Molecule: ribosomal RNA, 494 nt
Filed under: uncultured bacterium
Lineage: Bacteria
Description: partial 16S ribosomal RNA
Rfam family: Bacterial small subunit ribosomal RNA
Source: RNAcentral